UUUUUCUUUUUCUUUUUUCUUUUUUUUUUGGUUUUAUCUUUUUUUGUUUGUUUUGUCUUCAGUUGUCUCUGAUGCAGCUUAUAUGAAGAUAAUUAUUCUGUUAACGGAAUACCACUCUGAUUGCAAAAAAAGCAGCUGUUUUGUUGACAUGUUGACUGCUAAGUAAAUACAACUUUUUUAUUAAAAAAAGAUACAUCAUAAGUGGGUAACAUGAUUAAACUUGGGCUUUGGAGCCCACCUCCCAUUUGUGAGCAAUAGUCAAUACUUAAUACCUGACAUUAAUAUAUCUAGAACCUGAUGUAACUGGAUUUGUUUGUUUGUUUGUUUGUUGGUAUCAAACAAGUAUAUUUAAAUUUGGUUGGUUUACUUUGUGAGCAUACUUUGGAAGAUCUUAGGUGGUUCUAAAUUUUUUACUUCGUGGUUUCAAAGGCCAGAGUCUUGCUAGGUAACGGGGGCAUAAGUACACAUAAAUACUAUUAGACUGGGUAAUGGCACAAAAGCCAUGGCCCUAUUGAAAGCUUUCCAUGUUUGCUACUUUCAGUUUUAAGGUGAGUUUAGCUUAGCCUGUUUCUGUGUAAUUUCUUUGGUAGUAUCCUGAGAAGACAGAAGGAAAAUAAAGUCAGUUCCACUGUCCUAUCGUCAGCCUGACACCGAUAGUCUCCUGGCCUGUGACACUAUCUUCUGAGAUGCCUAUUCUGUGUGUAUCAGUCCUGUGUGAUUUUGGACUUAGUACUUGAUGUUUUCAGUAUCAUGCGGAGGUUGGUUGUUCAAAUGGAUAAAAAAACACAGAGUAGAAUCUGGUAUGAAUUGGGAAAGAAUUUAUAAUGACAGUAAUAAUUGCUGCCAUUUAGAUUGAAGAAAGCUUAAGCAGUUACUUGGGUGUUUAGUGAAGUGCAGUUUGUUAACUUUUUUUUGAAAAUUCCCAUUGUGUAGGUCUGACUGGCCUGGGCCUCACUGUGUAGAGCAGGUUGGAAACUCCCAGGUCUCCCUGCCCCCAGGAGCUGCACACCGAGGCAUGCCUGGUGCUGGUCAAACUUUGAUAGGAAAUAAAAUUAGGAAGGGAUUAGCUGCAGCCUAAGGUGAAGUUUUAAAGCUUUGGGUGACAAAAGGUUGCAGGGUUUGGGAAAGGCAGUGGCGUUAGCAUUGCUUGGAGGCCGUUGAAUGCUGUGCUGCCCAGUAUUCAAGGCAGCCGCCUAGAGCUCCAGUUUGAAGAUGCCAGAUGCUGAUGUGUUCUGUGCCGUGUGCAGAUGCACUUCGACUUUCACCUGCCUACCCCUUCUGAAGGGUUGCCUGCAAGGAGUGAAAACUAAAGGCUAGUUUGCAGGGGCUGAGAGUCUCAUGGGGGUCCGGGUAGAAGGUAAUUAAAAAUCUUCUCUAGUACUUGGAGCUGGGCAGGUGGGCUAGAGAUGAGUAUUUACAAGGCCCUAGGUCCCAUGGCCAGCAUAAGAAAAGGGAAAGAAAAGGUGCUAUGGGCACUGUUUGUUCCAUGAAACAGAACGCUGGCAGGGUGGGUGUUGCCAGAGAGCAAACCUCAGUCACUGUAGGUGCUGUUAGGUGAUUUAAGAUUUACCUCCUUUGAACGCCUCUUGAGGCGUUCAGGUGCACUACAUAAACUGGUCACUAGGGGGCAUCAGCUCAUCAGCCUGUACUGCAAAAAGCUAUAGCCCUGAGAAGUCUAUUAAAAAUUAAUAGACUUUAGAAGUUAGAAAUUAAUUUUUGAGGGUUCCCCCCAAGAAAACUAGGAAAUAGUUGGGAAAUCUUGGGUUUUAUCAAUGUGGGUGGGACUAUUUGUGUUUUAAACACUGAUAAAAUACCUGAUAAUUUCAUUGUAUAGUAGCUUUUUAACUUUUUUUGUGCAUAUAGUGGGGUGGCAAGUAUGCCAUAGCCUUUAAGACCAGCAACUGUAACAUCUGAGCCAUUUUGUCCACUCUUGUUACUCUUGCAGGCAUUGGGAUGCUGGUAUAGGAAUACCUAACACUAUUGCUAAAAAACUCCAAGCCCCAUGGGAUUCAAUGUAUAUGGUAAUUAGGGAAUAAUAUGAGUCAAGUUUAGUGCGUGCUGUAGUACGUUUUAAAGAUACACCAAGUGCAGAUAGGGUUUGCUGGCUAGGUACUGAGAGGAAAGAAUGGUGAAAGGCACGUGUUCUCAACGCAUUUGCAAUCUUUAUGACCCAUGUGUUGAAGUAGUU
This 2188-nucleotide long non-coding RNA is filed under the name Mus musculus (house mouse). Its description in RNAcentral is "long non-coding RNA chr10:111501662-111503850". Lineage: Eukaryota; Metazoa; Chordata; Mammalia; Rodentia; Muridae. The record is from RNAcentral.